RNAcentral lists this ribosomal RNA (248 nucleotides) under uncultured bacterium. Its description in RNAcentral is "partial 16S ribosomal RNA". It matches the Rfam family "Bacterial small subunit ribosomal RNA", at positions 524 to 771 of the family's 1533-position model. The record is from RNAcentral.
UACAGAGGGGGCAAGCGUUGUUCGGAAUUACUGGGCGUAAAGGGCGCGUAGGCGGCCUGUUAAGUCGAACGUGAAAUCCCCGGGCUCAACCCGGGAACUGCGUCCGAUACUGGCAGGCUUGAAUCCGGGAGAGGGAUGCGGAAUUCCAGGUGUAGCGGUGAAAUGCGUAGAUAUCUGGAGGAACACCGGUGGCGAAGGCGGCAUCCUGGACCGGCAUUGACGCUGAGGCGCGAAAGCCAGGGGAGCAA